This 394-nucleotide ribosomal RNA is filed under the name uncultured Glomeromycotina. Its description in RNAcentral is "SSU rRNA". It matches the Rfam family "Eukaryotic small subunit ribosomal RNA", at positions 569 to 970 of the family's 1831-position model. Lineage: Eukaryota; Fungi; Glomeromycota. The record is from RNAcentral.
AGCAGCCGCGGUAAUUCCAGCUCCAAUAGCGUAUAUUAAAGUUGUUGCAGUUAAAAAGCUCGUAGUUGAAUUUCGGGGUUAGUAGGUUGGUCAUGCCUCUGGUAUGUACUGGUCUCACUGAUUCCUCCUUCCUGAUGAACUGUAAUGCCAUUAAUUUGGUGUUGCAGGGAAUCUGGACUGUUACUUUGAAAAAAUUGAGUGUUUAAAGCAGGCUAACGCUUGAAUACAUUAGCAUGGAAUAAUGAAAUAGGACGUUCGAUCCUAUUUUGUUGGUUUCUAGGAUUGACGUAAUGAUUAAUAGGGAUAGUUGGGGGCAUUAGUAUUCAAUUGUCAGAGUGAAAUUCUUGGAUUUAUGAAGACUAACUACUGCGAAAGCAUUUGCCAAGGAUGUUCU